CCUACGGGUGGCAGCAGUGAGGAAUAUUGGUCAAUGGACGAGAGUCUGAACCAGCCAAGUAGCGUGAAGGAUGACUGCCCUAUGGGUUGUAAACUUCUUUUAUAUGGGAAUAAAAUGUUCCACGUGUGGGAUUUUGUAUGUACCAUAUGAAUAAGGAUCGGCUAAAGCCGUGCCAGCAGCCGCGGUAAUACGGAGGAUCCGAGCGUUAGCCGGAUUUAUUGGGUUUAAAGGGAGCGUAGGUGGAUUUUUAAGUCAGUUGUGAAAGUUUGCUGCUCAACCGUAAAAUUGCAGUUGAAACUGGCAGUCUGGAGUACAGUAGAGUUGAGCGGAAUUCGUGGUGUAGCGGUGAAAUGCGUAGAUAUCACGAAGAACUCCGAUUGCGAAGGCAGCUCACUGGACUGCAACUGACACUGAGGCUCGAAAGUGUGGGUAUCAAACAGGAUUAGAUACCCGAGUAGUC
This 460-nucleotide ribosomal RNA is filed under the name uncultured bacterium. Its description in RNAcentral is "partial 16S ribosomal RNA". It matches the Rfam family "Bacterial small subunit ribosomal RNA", at positions 338 to 795 of the family's 1533-position model. The record is from RNAcentral.